RNAcentral lists this ribosomal RNA (286 nucleotides) under Xanthomonas citri pv. citri. RNAcentral's name for it is "partial 16S ribosomal RNA". It matches the Rfam family "Bacterial small subunit ribosomal RNA", at positions 1242 to 1533 of the family's 1533-position model. Lineage: Bacteria; Pseudomonadati; Pseudomonadota; Gammaproteobacteria; Lysobacterales; Lysobacteraceae. The record is from RNAcentral.
AAGAGAAGCGAAGUGGUGACAUGGAGCAAACCUCAAAAAACCGUUCUCAGUUCGGAUUGAAGUCUGCAACUCGACUUCAUGAAGUCGGAAUCGCUAGUAAUCGUAGAUCAGCUACGCUACGGUGAAUACGUUCUCGGGUCUUGUACACACCGCCCGUCAAACCAUGGGAGCUGGUAAUGCCCGAAGUCGGUUUAUAAAGAAACUGCCUAAGGCAGGACUGGUGACUGGGGUUAAGUCGUAACAAGGUAUCCCUACGAGAACGUGGGGAUGGAUUACCUCCUUUCUA